Molecule: ribosomal RNA, 293 nt
Filed under: uncultured bacterium
Lineage: Bacteria
Description: partial 16S ribosomal RNA
Rfam family: Archaeal small subunit ribosomal RNA
Source: RNAcentral
GUGCCAGCCGCCGCGGUAACACCGGCAGCCCGAGUGAUGGCCGAUAUUAUUGGGCCUAAAGCGUCCGUAGCUGGCCGCGCAAGUUCGUCGGGAAAUCCACUCGCUUAACGAGUGGGCGUCCGGCGAAAACUGUCCGGCUUGGGUCCAAAAGACCCGAGGGGUACGUCCGGGGUAGGAGUGAAAUCCUGUAAUCCUGGACGGACCGCCGGUGGCGAAAGCGCCUCGGGAGGACGGACCCGACGGUGAGGGACGAAAGCCAGGGUCUCGGACCGGAUUAGAAACCCCAGUAGUCC